RNAcentral lists this ribosomal RNA (796 nucleotides) under Ochromonas sp. CCMP1393. Its description in RNAcentral is "partial Eukaryotic large subunit ribosomal RNA". It matches the Rfam family "Eukaryotic large subunit ribosomal RNA", at positions 339 to 1145 of the family's 3401-position model. The record is from RNAcentral. Lineage: Eukaryota; Chrysophyceae; Chromulinales; Chromulinaceae.
AGCGAACAAGUACCGCGAGGGAAAGAUGAAAAGAACUUUGAAAAAAGAGUCAAAGAGUGCUUGAAAUUGUCGGGAGGGAAGCGGAUGGGGGUCGGCGAUGCGUCCCGGUCGGAUGUGGAACGGCGACGAGCCGGUCCGCCGAUCGACUCGGGGCGUGGACCAGCACGAAUUGAGGCGGCGGCCAAAGCCCGGGCAGUCGAUAUGCCCGUGGAAUGCCGUCGCCCCGAUUGUGGCGGACAGCGCGCGCCCUCGGCGUGCCUCGGCAUCUGCGCGCUCCCGGUGCUGGCCUGCGGGCUCCCCAUUCGACCCGUCUUGGAACACGGACCAAGGAGUCUAACAUCUAUGCGAGUGUUCGGGUGUCAAACCCCUACGCGUAAUGAAAGUGAACGCAGGUGAGAGCUUCGGCGCAUCAUCGACCGAUCCUGAUGUUCUCGGAUGGAUUUGAGUAAGAGCAUAGCUGUUGGGACCCGAAAGAUGGUGAACUAUGCCUGAAUAGGGUGAAGUCAGAGGAAACUCUGAUGGAAGCUUGUAGCGGUUCUGACGUGCAAAUCGAUCGUCGAAUCUGGGCAUGGGGGCGAAAGACUAAUCGAGCCAUCUGGUAGCUGGUUCCUGCCGAAGUUUCCCUCAGGAUAGCAGUAACGUUUUCAGUUUUAUGAGGUAAAGCGAAUGAUUAGGGACUCGGGGGCGCUUUUUAGCCUUCAUCCAUUCUCAAACUUUAAAUAUGUAAGAAGUCCUUGUUACUUAAUUGAACGUGGACAUGCGAAUGAGAGUUUCUAGUGGGCCAUUUUUGGUAAGC